Molecule: unclassified non-coding RNA, 405 nt
Filed under: Hevea brasiliensis (rubber tree)
Lineage: Eukaryota; Viridiplantae; Streptophyta; Magnoliopsida; Malpighiales; Euphorbiaceae
Source: RNAcentral
AAAAAAUCAGCAUUGGGAGGAUUGCUUGCAAGAGAAGAAUCCAAAUCAUUCUCAUUCUUUACAUGCCUUCUCACAGGCAAUUUUUUAGGACCCAGCACAGACAUUGCUGCAGCAUUCCAUUCACAAUCAGCUUCUGGGAAUUGCUCACUAAAUUCUUCUGAAGUAGAAACAAAAUGAGAAUAAUCAUCCUCUUGAUAUACGUUGUCCUCCGUAGAAGGCACCACUUGAGUAGACAUCUCGUCAUCCAUGUGUAGCUCUGAAAUCAUCCCAGAACCAAACUCCAUAUCUGAAUUAUCUAUCUUUAAAGCCUUUGUGCGCAUUCUCUUUUCUUCCAACUGUUUUUUGCUUUCUGGAUUCAAAUAAGGACAGAUAGGUAUUCUAGUCCUACGGCAUCUAGAACAUUUG